GUGUCUUGCAUACCGUGUGGAAAGUCCCCUGACUAAAAAUAACACAAUUCUUUAACACAGUGUCAUCAAGCAAGCAAGAUAAGGGCUUAUCCUAGCACUGCUAUUCCACAGGUGGUCAUAAGCGUGGUAUCAAAAUCAGCAGCGAGGCUAUCCGGGUUCCUGCAUGGCUGGCCGGUUUGCCUCUGCUACUUGACAGCUCCUGUCUUUCCACUCCAGCGUCACUGAAUGUUAUCUGCGCAGCUGUGUUAGACUGCAUCCCCAUCCCAGCUUCCCUGUGCGAAGCUCGUGUACCUCUAAGACUGUGAAAAGCCAGGGAACAAUAGUAUCUUGUGUUCCAUUCCCUGUUAUCUGUCCUUCACUCCUUUAUUGAAAAGGCUUACCUCAUUUUCUAUUAAUUACACGAAAACAAUGAUUUUAGCCAAAGAUGGGCUCCCCCGGCGAUUCUGCAACUGUUCUUUAAUCUUGGUUAUGAAGAGAGAACAAUGAAGCUGUUGUGCUGUAGUGGCUAGGAUAGAAAAAAACCUGCAUUUAAAUAACACUGAGAUAAUAUGCGUGCAGCCUUGCAUUGACUCGUACAAAUAUGUAAAAUCCUGAAUAAACGUGCUAUGAGUCUUUGUUAUGAUAAAAGCAA
Micropterus salmoides (largemouth bass) is the source of this 631-nucleotide long non-coding RNA. RefSeq lists it as uncharacterized. The transcript has 2 exons. NCBI's taxonomy places the organism in Eukaryota, Metazoa, Chordata, Actinopteri, Centrarchiformes, Centrarchidae. The record is from RefSeq and is a predicted model, not a curated record.